CUACGGGCGGCUGCAGUGGGGAAUUUUGGACAAUGGGCGCAAGCCUGAUCCAGCAAUGCCGCGUGAGUGAAGAAGGCCUUCGGGUUGUAAAGCUCUUUUGUCAGGGAAGAAACGGUAGAGGCUAAUAUCCUUUGCUAAUGACGGUACCUGAAGAAUAAGCACCGGCUAACUACGUGCCAGCAGCCGCGGUAAUACGUAGGGGUGCAAGCGUUAAUCGGAAUUACUGGGCGUAAAGCGUGCGCAGGCGGUUUUGUAAGUCUGACGUGAAAUCCCCGGGCUCAACCUGGGAAUUGCGUUGGAGACUGCAAGGCUAGAAUCUGGCAGAGGGGGGUAGAAUUCCACGUGUAGCAGUGAAAUGCGUAGAGAUGUGGAGGAACACCGAUGGCGAAGGCAGCCCCCUGGGUCAAGAUUGACGCUCAUGCACGAAAGCGUGGGGAGCAAACAGGAUUAGAUACCCCCGUAGUC
This 465-nucleotide ribosomal RNA is filed under the name uncultured bacterium. RNAcentral's name for it is "partial 16S ribosomal RNA". It matches the Rfam family "Bacterial small subunit ribosomal RNA", at positions 339 to 795 of the family's 1533-position model. The record is from RNAcentral.